CUGAUCUGCUCCACCCCUUACUCACCUGCUCCUCAUCAGCUAAUCAGCCCCCUCAGUAUUUAUACUGAGCCUGUUCCCUCAGUUCUUUGCCAGAUUGUCUAGUGUGUUUACUUAGCUCUCCAGCGUUCUGUAUUUUUUGAUUCUGAUCCUGCCUGCUUGUGAUUUGACCUGCCUUUUGGACUUUGGAUGCUCCCUCUUGCCUGCUCCCUUUGGAUUUGUUUGCCUCGCUGACUGAGUACCUGGUUUGACCCUCGCUUGAAAUUAAACUUAUUCUUUUGCAACUGAACUGUUUUCUUUGUGUCGUGCUAUUGGGUUCCUGCCUGCCAUUUUGUGAAGCCUGACAGACAUCACACUCGCGGUGGGUAGCUCAAGUGUCACACUGCACACCCAGUGAGCCUUGGAGCCAGUUGCCCAAGAGUUUGCCUGGGCUGAGACCUCGGAUCACAGGUGGAGUCACCACGGACGAAAAGGCUGAGCUCAACUGUAUUUAGUAGCCUGCUCUGAGUGUGAACUCAGCUGGACACCAAACUGGGACUGAACACAUCCUCCAAGGCCAACUGAGGUCAGGGGGACACAGUACUGAAAUGAUUUACAGCGGGGGUGACCAAGACUUGAGCGACUUCAAGACACAGCAGGAAUGGAUUAUUUAGGCUUUUUGCCAGUGGGCGGAGAAAACUGAAACCACAGCAAUCACAACAGGAAAGACUGCGGGGGAUCGAGGAGGGACUGUGACUUCCUGGAAGAGAGCGGGAAUCAGCCGAUACUGUCCACAGCCAAUAAUGGCAGACAGGCGGGUCACCGAGAGAACUGAGGGUACUGCAUCUUUCCUUCCACUCCGACAGAAGAUGAAAUUAGACCCGACUGACACUGUCUCUGCUCUGCCUGGUGUGUGUGCCUUCGGAGCCAGACUGACUGUAUUGAAGGAGCCAAGCUGACCUGCUGAUUCCAGAGUGGCAUAAUACACGCCUGACUGAAGCUUUCACCCUUACUCUCUGGGGACACAGAAGGGCAGCCGACUUCUCUUACACUUCCCCGCAGUGCUUUAUCUAUCAAUCAGGAUGUGUCCUACUUUGGAACACAGUGAAAGCUAAAGGCAAAGUCAAUAUGAUCGGCUCCUUCAAAAUGCUAUUUCAGGCCAGUGAUGUCUUCAAUGUCACUGGCUCAAAACGUAUGUGGAAAUGCUUCUGAGUUUGUAAGAACCUGCACAGAAACAAAUAUAUUCCAGCUUUGCAGGAAAAUUGUAUUAAACUAAAAAAGUGUACUAAACUGAUUUUCACAUACUUUUUUCCUGUCACUGUCUGAACUUUACCGGCAGUGAGACAUACAGUCAAUGUCACAACAACAAUAACGAAGCAUGUGGUGAAAC
This is a long non-coding RNA of Acanthopagrus latus (yellowfin seabream), 1366 nucleotides long. RefSeq lists it as uncharacterized. NCBI's taxonomy places the organism in Eukaryota, Metazoa, Chordata, Actinopteri, Spariformes, Sparidae. The transcript has 4 exons. The record is from RefSeq and is a predicted model, not a curated record.